CCCUUAGACGUCCGGGGCUGCACGCGCGCUACACUGACUGGCUCAGCGUGUGCCUACCCUACGCCGGCAGGCGCGGGUAACCCGUUGAACCCCAUUCGUGAUGGGGAUCGGGGAUUGCAAUUAUUCCCCAUGAACGAGGAAUUCCCAGUAAGUGCGGGUCAUAAGCUUGCGUUGAUUAAGUCCCUGCCCUUUGUACACACCGCCCGUCGCUACUACCGAUUGGAUGGUUUAGUGAGGCCCUCGGAUCGGCCCCGCCGGGGUCGGCCCACGGCCCUGGCGGAGCGCUGAGAAGACGGUCGAACUUGACUAUCUAGAGGAAGUAAAAGUCGUAACA
RNAcentral lists this ribosomal RNA (334 nucleotides) under uncultured eukaryote. RNAcentral describes it as "partial 18S ribosomal RNA". It matches the Rfam family "Eukaryotic small subunit ribosomal RNA", at positions 1470 to 1796 of the family's 1831-position model. The record is from RNAcentral.